AUCAGAGGCAAAGCGAACGUUGUGUGUACUAUUGCAAAAUAUAUAGCGGAUCUCCACGGUUAGGAUACAGACCACAACGCUUUGGACGUAUCUUUAAAAAAGAUUAAAAUCAGAGACUUUUUGGAUUUGUCUGGGGACAUUUUAAACAUUUUGUGGCAAAUUGGAUUUAAAACAUUUCGGAUACUGGAUACCUAGUUUGAUUUGUCCACAGAGCUUGUUUAAAACGUUUUCACCGCAUUUUAGGGUUUAUUUUUAAUUAAAGGCUUCUUAAAACAUGUGUGAAAAUGUGUAUAUUAUACAAUGAGUCUUAUAUUGUCUGCUCUGACAAAAAUAAAUUAUUAUUUUAGAUUUUA
Long non-coding RNA from Paramisgurnus dabryanus, 353 nucleotides. RefSeq lists it as uncharacterized. The record is from RefSeq and is a predicted model, not a curated record. NCBI's taxonomy places the organism in Eukaryota, Metazoa, Chordata, Actinopteri, Cypriniformes, Cobitidae.